CCCUUUGUUCAGGUCUCUUCUGAAGAAAGGCACCAGAGGCUCCAGCUCUGGCCAUAAUGCCCCAGAUGAAGCUUGACAGGAGAACUGGACACAACAGGCCAGGUUUCCCUAGGAUCACCAGCUGUCAUGGACUGAUUUGUGUCUCUCCAAAUUCAUAUGUUGAAUACUUAACCUGCCAUGCGAUUGUGAUUGGAGAUAAUUCCUUUAGGGAAGCAAUGAAGGUUAAAUGAGGUCAUAGGUGGGAGCUUAAUCCAAUGGGACUGGGGUCCCUACAAGAAGAGGAAGACACCAGAGCUCUCUGUCUCCACACACAGAGAAAAGAGGCUGUAUGAGGACACAAGAGAAGGUAAUAGCUGUCUACAAACCAAGAAGAGAAGCCUCUCCAGAAAAUGAACCCUGCUGGAACUUGGUCUUGGACUUUCCAGCCUC
This 429-nucleotide long non-coding RNA is filed under the name Homo sapiens (human). Its description in RNAcentral is "non-protein coding lnc-FOXO6-1:2". The record is from RNAcentral. Lineage: Eukaryota; Metazoa; Chordata; Mammalia; Primates; Hominidae.